AGAUUGAACGCUGGCGGCAUGCCUUACACAUGCAAGUCGAACGGCAGCACGGGAGCAAUCCUGGUGGCGAGUGGCGAACGGGUGAGUAAUAUAUCGGAACGUGCCCAGUCGUGGGGGAUAACGCAGUGAAAGCUGUGCUAAUACCGCAUACGAUCUAUGGAUGAAAGCGGGGGACUCGCAAGAGCCUCGCGCGAUUGGAGCGGCCGAUAUCAGAUUAGCUAGUUGGUGGGGUAAAAGCCCACCAAGGCGACGAUCUGUAGCUGGUCUGAGAGGACGACCAGCCACACUGGAACUGAGACACGGUCCAGACUCCUACGGGAGGCAGCAGUGGGGAAUUUUGGACAAUGGGCGCAAGCCUGAUCCAGCAAUGCCGCGUGCAGGAUGAAGGCCUUCGGGUUGUAAACUGUCGUUUUAGUACGGAACGAAAAGGUUCCUUUACUAAUACAAGGGCCCAUGACGGUUACCGUAAGAAUAAGCGACCGACUAACUACGU
This 493-nucleotide ribosomal RNA is filed under the name uncultured soil bacterium. Its description in RNAcentral is "bacterial SSU rRNA". It matches the Rfam family "Bacterial small subunit ribosomal RNA", at positions 26 to 506 of the family's 1533-position model. The record is from RNAcentral.